UAGGGAAUCUUCCGCAAUGGGCGAAAGCCUGACGGAGCAACGCCGCGUGAGUGAUGAAGGUCUUCGGAUCGUAAAACUCUGUUAUUAGGGAAGAACAAAUGUGUAAGUAACUAUGCACGUCUUGACGGUACCUAAUCAGAAAGCCACGGCUAACUACGUGCCAGCAGCCGCGGUAAUACGUAGGUGGCAAGCGUUAUCCGGAAUUAUUGGGCGUAAAGCGCGCAUAGGCGGUUUUUUAAGUCUGAUGUGAAAGCCCACGGCUCAACCGUGGAGGGUCAUUGGAAACUGGAAAACUUGAGUGCAGAAGAGGAAAGUGGAAUUCCAUGUGUAGCGGUGAAAUGCGCAGAGAUAUGGAGGAACACCAGUGGCGAAGGCGACUUUCUGGUCUGUAACUGACGCUGAUGUGCGAAAGCGUGGGGAUCAAAUAGG
Molecule: ribosomal RNA, 429 nt
Filed under: Actinomycetes bacterium
Lineage: Bacteria; Bacillati; Actinomycetota; Actinomycetes
Description: Actinobacteria bacterium partial 16S ribosomal RNA
Rfam family: Bacterial small subunit ribosomal RNA
Source: RNAcentral